Molecule: ribosomal RNA, 253 nt
Filed under: uncultured bacterium
Lineage: Bacteria
Description: partial 16S ribosomal RNA
Rfam family: Bacterial small subunit ribosomal RNA
Source: RNAcentral
UACGUAGGGGGCAAGCGUUGUCCGGAUUUACUGGGCGUAAAGAGCGUGUAGGCGGCCACGCAGGUCCGUUGUGAAAACUGGAGGCUCAACCUCCAGCUGUCGACGGAAACCGUAUGGCUAGAGUCCGGAAGAGGAGAGUGGAAUUCCUGGUGUAGCGGUGAAAUGCGCAGAUAUCAGGAGGAACACCCGUGGCGAAAGCGGCUCUCUGGGACGGUACUGACGCUGAGACGCGAAAGCGUGGGGAGCGAACAGG